RNAcentral lists this transfer RNA (88 nucleotides) under Actinomycetes bacterium. Its description in RNAcentral is "Actinobacteria bacterium tRNA-Leu". It matches the Rfam family "tRNA". From Rfam's summary of the family: Transfer RNA (tRNA) molecules are approximately 80 nucleotides in length. Lineage: Bacteria; Bacillati; Actinomycetota; Actinomycetes. The record is from RNAcentral.
GCCGGAGUGGCGGAACUGGCAGACGCGCGGGACUCAAAAUCCCGUGUCCCAAAAGGACGUGUGGGUUCGACCCCCACCUCCGGCAUCA